UUAGCAUGCGCCUUAUUUCUGAACAAGCGCUUCAAAUGUGGUAUUACAGGAAAAUACCAUACCAAGCUACUAUCCAGAUGAACCCUAGACAACACUUAGGACUAUACGCCAGCGGAAGCAUCCUGCAAAGGCCAACACCACAGGCAACGUUGGGUGUGGAAGCAACCUCCUACUCGAUAUCCUCGAUGAUGAAAUUUGGAUCUUCCUCUGAAGCAACAAAACAAGAGUGAGUAAAAAAGUACUCAACAAGUACAACCCCAUCCACGGAGGAGGAUACAAUCAAGGAUAUGCAUAGUAUAUAUCAAGGAUAAGGCUAAGGUUUAUCUGUAAUAAAGUUAGAUUUUAACACAUGCAAGGGUUUAGUUUGAAAGGGUUUUCGCAAAGCAUUUCUUUAGUAACCGAAUCAUUAAGUGGGGUUGAUCCCAUACAAAGGAUCCAAGUUUUAAUACUAUCAGACUCCCCGUUCGCAAUAACUCAUGGCACAACUGCCGAACACUUCCAAAAUCCAACACACGCCGUGAAAACCAUCCAUCUCCC
This 537-nucleotide long non-coding RNA is filed under the name Setaria viridis. Its description in RNAcentral is "long non-coding RNA (SVIR_LNC005399)". The record is from RNAcentral. Lineage: Eukaryota; Viridiplantae; Streptophyta; Magnoliopsida; Poales; Poaceae.